Papaver somniferum (opium poppy) is the source of this 1144-nucleotide long non-coding RNA. RefSeq lists it as uncharacterized. The transcript has 3 exons. NCBI's taxonomy places the organism in Eukaryota, Viridiplantae, Streptophyta, Magnoliopsida, Ranunculales, Papaveraceae. The record is from RefSeq and is a predicted model, not a curated record.
UUCUCUACCUUUCAUUCUGUUCUUCCUUCCUCUCUCGUUCUCGUCUCUAAAUCUCUGCUUCUCUCUCGUUCUCUCCCCCCUUACUACUACCAGAAACAUCGUUAUCAUCAACUUCAUAAACCCCCAAAUCUUUUUCCUUAUUUUUUUUCAAAACCCUAGAAAUUUCUUUCUGUUUAAAGAUCCACCAAACCCAAAACCUAAUGGUCGUCGUUCAAAAAGAAGAAGAUAGAAAACAUCUUGGAACUAAGGGUCAAUACAAAGGGGUUUGUUUGUUUAUUUGAUAUAUGUUGAUUGUGUAAAUGAAAUUUCAAUAAAUAGGUCAGGAUAAGAUUAGGGUUUUGAAGUUCUAAUUGAAUUUGAUUUGUUAAAGGCAGAGAUGGGGUUCUAGGUCUGCUGUAACAAGCUGGAUAUCACUCUGCUUGUUACAGGGUAUUUUUCCUUUUCUUCGUAUUUCAUCUUUAAUUACAAGACUUAUCUUCGUUUAAUGUAUUGAAUGUUUAAUUGGUAUUUUUCUUCAAUUAGUGGUGAUUGCUGUUUUUGGUUGAUUAAGGAGUAUUUUUAGUUUUUGAGUAAUUAGGAUUAUUGUGUUUGUUUAGAACUUACAGGCUAAAUGAUUGCAGGGAAUGAGCUAUGUAAGAUUACAAACAAGCAGCAAACUGGUUGAUCCUUCACUACAAACAUCAUUGACAUUUGGGUGGUUAGACCAAAUUUGGCUGCUCUAUUUUAUAUAGGUAAUCACUAUUACAGUCGAAGAAGAAGAUGAUAUUGUAAAACUUUCUGAUUACAAAGCUUCGUCAACGACAUCCAGUGGAGGGGCGAAAAGCUCACCUGAACCUUCUCCACCAAAAAAGAGGCGGAGCCCGUGAGCUCGCCUGAGCUAACAAGUUCAGUGGCUGCUGAACCUCCUCAAUCAGAAGGUCGCAAUUUUGCUAUCCCUCUUGCAAAAAAACUGGCUGAAGAGUGAAGAGAACAACGUGCCUAUUUCAAGCGUUAAAGGCACAGGUCCUGAUGGAAGUAUUGUGAAGGAUGAAAUUGAUGACUACUUGGGUAUAGUUUUUUCAAUGUCGUUUCCUGUGUAUUGGUCAUUUUCUUGGUAGGGUUCCUUUUGAGUAUCAAUGAAUACAUUUCACCUAAUGAUGUAGCU